GUCCCCGGCGUCCGGGCGCCCUGCAUGGAUCCCCCACCCCAGCUCCUGCUCCCCGGCGGCGGCCGGUGGGCAGAAAGACCGAAACCCACUCACGGCCGCCUGCCGAAUCGCGGCUCUGCUGUUUGUGGGGCGUGCUAGAAACGUGGUCCUAAAAAGAAUGGCGUCCAUUUACAUAAUGCUUUGUUUGCGUUUCGCAAGUUUCUUUCGGUUAAAGCCACAGAAACCCCACCUCCUGCCCUUGUGUCGUUUCCACCGCGGCACCCUUUUCCGACAUUAGAAACAAUAGUGUACGCCUGUGGAGGCCUCGUUUGUUCAGGGGCUGCCGGCCAGGGCUUCAGGACGUUUCUGCGGCUUUCCCCGCGCGGCCUGGGCUCCCGCGGCUGCUUUUCGGGCCCAUGGGCGCAGCCACUGCGCCAGGCUCAAGGGGGGCGGCCCCGUCAGGGCCCGCCAUCUUGGAAGGCCUUUUUUGCCGGUUCUUCCCGCUGAGGAAGUGUCGCUCAAGACGCUGGCCUAUGAGUUGUGAUUUCUGCCUUUUCCCCUUCCUCCUUGGGCUAAGCCAGACCAGAAAGGGCCCCGUGCGCAACGUGCUUCACAAUCUCUCAGGGAAAGCGGCUAACGUGGCGCUACUCCGCCUCCCCUGUUCCUUACCCUUGGGGCGGCCGCCAUGUUUCCUGAACACAAAAUGGCGACACGUGGUUAGCAUUCGUCGCCAACGAGAAAUUGGGGUCGGCCCGAAAGCUCUAGAAUGCACCCCUCUUCCUCCCCGGGGCCUUCCACCUCCGCGAGUUUUAUGACUUAAAAAAGCCCACAGGCUGGUCUGAAGGUCGGAGGCCUAAUUUUAACGCGUUUUCCUCCCUUUAAUUUGAAACGGGAACGCGAAUGACUGUAAAAUGUGGGCACAAUAUUUAAUCUCUCGCCUUUUUAAAGCUUAAUAGUGGAUAAUAGGGGGGCAGUAUCAAGGGAUAAUUUGGGUCCCCACAGUACCAAAGCAUUUAGAAACCUCUGUUUAAUUUAAGGAAUGAGAUAAGUUACUGCUUUUCUAGACUUCCUAGCAUGGGCUGUUGUGCUGGAGAGAACGAGAGCUACGAAGAGACUACAGUGCCUCUGACUUUUUCAUAGGACAGUUGGCCGAGGAAGACAAACAUAAAGAUGAAGUGCUUAAUUCAAGGUCACACAAUGUCGGGGAUGGACCUCCAGAUUUCCUUACUGACCUGCAUUAUCUUGUGGAUACCUGAGUGAAUUCCACACCACCCAUUUUAUAGAUGAAACCACUGAGACAUGGAGCAAUUGACUGAGUAGUCACUGCCCCACCCCUGCCUGGAGCCUCACACAUGACUCGCCUCCUCUCAGUGACCACAGGAAAACAAGCUCAGGGCUCCCACUGAUUGUACAUUAUGAGACGGAGUCUUGCUAUGUUGCCCAGGCUGGUCUUGAACUCCUCACCUCAAGCGAUCCUCCCGUCUUGGCCUCCCAAGUGUCAGGAUUACGGGCAUGUGCUAUCACACCCAACCUGAUACAUUGCCUUUAUAAAUUUUUUUUUCUUUAUUCUAAAAACCAGAAAAAACAAAACUGGAUACAUGUGCAGAACAUGCAGACCAAGUGUGUUGGGGACUUGAGAUGCGUACAUGAGUGUGAUGUUUCCUGCUGAAAGCACAGGUGAGACGUGGUCUUGUAACACAGUGGUUAAGAAUGUGACUUUGGAGCCAGCCUGCUAGGGGCUGAAUUCUGACUCAGCCAUUUACUAACUGUGUGACCUUAGGCUGGAGUGCAAUGGCAUGAUCUCGGCUCAUCACAACCUCUGCUUCCUGGGUUCAAGCGAUUCUCCUGCCUCAGCCUCCCGAGUACCUGGGACUACAGGCACUCGCCACCAUGCCCGGCUGAUUUUUGUAUUUUUAAUAGAGAUGGUUUCACUAUGUUGGCCAGGCUGGUCUCGAACUCCUGACCUUGUGAUCUGCCCACCUCAGCCUCGAAAAGUGCUGGGAUUACAGGCGUGAGCCACUGCGCCCAGCCUUGUAUUUUUUUUCAGUUUGGGUAGCUGUCCCUAAUUCAUUUGUUAAAGGAGAAGCAAGAGCAAGAACCUUUAAUCUGUUCUCCUCUUCCCUAAUUUGAAAGUAGCUUGUUAUUUUGAAUAUCACUUUCUCUGAAAUAGCACAUCUCCAUCUCAGAGAAUGGAUUUAAUGUUUGGAUACAGCCAAAAGUCAUUUCAUUACCAAACCAUGGGGUGAAUAUACCAUGUAAAGCAGUUUGGGAUCAGAACUCACAGUCUGAAUUGUAAGUGAUGAGACUGCUGUCUCUCUGCUACAGCUUCUUGGCUGGCUCUGAAGGCUCUUUGAAGGCAGAUCCUAACAAGGGGACUGCUUUGAAGGGCCAUUGUUCAUUUGGAAUGAUAAAGUCUAUGUUGUUCAAAAAACAAAUGCUUGUAGCAGGUAUUUUUUCACUCCAGACUGAGAAUAUUGGUGGGAUAUUGAUAAGGGGUACUGAAUGGUAAUAAACAUGUGCUCUAGCUCUGUGCUAGUCAGCUUAUUUCAGAACUCUAGUUUGAUUCAGUUUCUUGCCUCUGACUCAAAAUGGAGGGAGAGUGAUUUUUACAUAAGAGAACACACCCACAUAUCCUUUUGGCAGCAGCUACCUGCCAGAGAUGUUGAAGAAGAGUAGCCAACCUUUACACAGCAGAUAUUGUGUGCCAGUCAUAGUCCUAAGUAUAAUACCUUACAUGUAUAAACUUCUUAUAAGGUUGGUGCUCUGUACCGAAUUGAAUAGUAUCCCCCAAAAUUCAUGUUGUCCCAGAACCUAUGAAAGUGAUCUUACUUGAGGGAGGGGGGAGGGGGGAGGGAUAGCAUUAGGAGAUAUACCUAAUGCUAAAUGACGAGUUAAUGGGUGUAGCACACCAGCAUGGCACAUGUAUACAUAUGUAACUAACCUGCACAUUGUGCACAUGUACCCUAAAACUUAAAGUAUAAUAAUAAUAAAAUAAAAAAAAAAAAGAAAGUGAUCUUACUUGGAAAUAAGGUCUUUGCACAUAUGAUCAAGUUGAGAUGAAGUUGUACUGGAAAGUCUGUCUAGUGACUGGUGUUGUCAUAAGAAGAGAGGGACACAGAGGGAAGAUGGCCACAUGAAGAUGGAGGCAGAGAUUGCAGUUAUGCUGCUGCAAACUAAGGAAUGGCUCUGGCCCUCCAAGGAUUGCUGAUAACCACCAGAAACUAGAAGAGACAAGGAAGGAUUCUUCCCUAGAGCCUUCAGAGGGAGCAUGGCCCUACUGACACCUGGAUUUCAAACUUGUAGCUUCCUAAACUGCAAGAGAAUAAAUUUCUGUUGUUUUAAGCCA
RNAcentral lists this long non-coding RNA (3325 nucleotides) under Homo sapiens (human). RNAcentral's name for it is "PCBP1 antisense RNA 1, transcript variant 66 (PCBP1-AS1)". The record is from RNAcentral. Lineage: Eukaryota; Metazoa; Chordata; Mammalia; Primates; Hominidae.